Molecule: transfer RNA, 84 nt
Filed under: Veillonella magna
Lineage: Bacteria; Bacillati; Bacillota; Negativicutes; Veillonellales; Veillonellaceae
Also listed under: 2 other names
Description: tRNA-Leu
Rfam family: tRNA
About the family: Transfer RNA (tRNA) molecules are approximately 80 nucleotides in length.
Source: RNAcentral
GCGGUUGUGGUGGAAUGGCAGACACGCUGUCUUCAGGCGGCAGUGCUUUCGGGCGUGCGGGUUCAACUCCCGCCAACCGCACCA